GUCCUCUUGGUAUUUUAUGAGAGGUCAGGCCUGCUCAGUGAGUUUUAAAAAGCCGCGGUAUUUUGACCGUGCUAAGGUAGCAUAAUCAAUAGUCUAUUAAAUGUGGUCUGGAAUGAAAGGUCAGACGGGGAGUAGCUGUCUUAAGCUCAUGGUUGAAAUUAAAAUAUUAGUUAAAAUGCUAAUUUGAGUUAGAGGGACGAGAAGACCCUAUAGAGCUUUAUAUUAUCCUAUAAGUGAUAGAGGAUGAAAUUAGGAUAUAUUUUGUUGGGGCGACAUAAAAUAUAAACAUUUUAUAAAUUUUCUUUUAUAGAAGGAUUUUUGAUCCAUUAUUAGUGAUUAGUAGACUAAGUUACCUUAGGGAUAACAGCGUAAUCCUAUUUUAGAGUUCGUAUCGAUAAUAGGGUUUGCGACCUCGAUGUUGGAUUAGAAGUCCCCUAAGGCGCAGAAGUUUCAAGGGGUAGUCUGUUCGACUAUUAAAUUUCUACAUGAUCU
Molecule: ribosomal RNA, 492 nt
Filed under: Otostigmus sulcipes
Lineage: Eukaryota; Metazoa; Arthropoda; Chilopoda; Scolopendromorpha; Scolopendridae
Also listed under: 1 other name
Description: partial large subunit ribosomal RNA
Rfam family: Bacterial large subunit ribosomal RNA
Source: RNAcentral